GUGGGGAAUUUUGGACAAUGGGCGAAAGCCUGAUCCAGCCAUGCCGCGUGCAGGAUGAAGGCCUUCGGGUUGUAAACUGCUUUUGUACGGAACGAAACGGCUCUUUCUAAUAAAGAGGGCUAAUGACGGUACCGUAAGAAUAAGCACCGGCUAACUACGUGCCAGCAGCCGCGGUAAUACGUAGGGUGCGAGCGUUAAUCGGAAUUACUGGGCGUAAAGCGUGCGCAGGCGGUGAUGUAAGACAGAUGUGAAAUCCCCGGGCUCAACCUGGGAACUGCAAUGGUGACUGCAUCGCUGAAGUGCGGCAGAGGGGGAUGGAAUUCCGCGUGUAGCAGUGAAAUGCGUAGAUAUGCGGAGGAACACCGAUGGCGAAGGCAAUCCCCUGGGCCUGCACUGACGCUCAUGCACGAAAGCGUGGGGAGCAAACAGGAUUAGAAACCCUGGCAGUCC
RNAcentral lists this ribosomal RNA (450 nucleotides) under uncultured bacterium. RNAcentral's name for it is "partial 16S ribosomal RNA". It matches the Rfam family "Bacterial small subunit ribosomal RNA", at positions 354 to 796 of the family's 1533-position model. The record is from RNAcentral.